AGAGAUAGAGUGGAGGUUAUCCGGGAUACAGGUGGUGCAUGGUUGUCGUCAGCUCGUGUCGUGAGAUGUUGGGUUAAGUCCCGCAACGAGCGCAACCCUUGUCUUUAGUUACCAUCAUUCAGUUGGGGACUCUAGAGAGACUGCCGGUGAUAAACCGGAGGAAGGUGGGGAUGACGUCAAAUCAUCAUGCCCCUUAUGGCCUGGGCUACAAACGUAAUACAAUGGCGUAUACAAAGGGAUGCGAAAGGGCGACCUGGAGCAAAACUCACAAAGUACGUCUCAGUUCAGAUUGGAGUCUGCAACUCGACUCCAUGAAGGCGGAAUCGCUAGUAAUCGCGGAUCAGCAUGCCGCGGUGAAUACGUUCUCGGGGUUU
This 374-nucleotide ribosomal RNA is filed under the name uncultured Erysipelothrix sp. RNAcentral's name for it is "bacterial SSU rRNA". It matches the Rfam family "Bacterial small subunit ribosomal RNA", at positions 1002 to 1382 of the family's 1533-position model. Lineage: Bacteria; Bacillati; Bacillota; Erysipelotrichia; Erysipelotrichales; Erysipelotrichaceae. The record is from RNAcentral.